UAAAUCUCGCCUGAUGCACCGUCACAACAACCUAAACACGUGAGGGCAAGUAAAUUUCUCCUGUACGACGCAACUCACCCCGCCCCGUCUCGAAUUAGGGCUGCUCAUCCCCGAACCAGGUCACCGCGUCGGCUACAUCCGCCGCCACCCUCCUGUGCAUCAAGAACUAGCAGCGGCUACAUCUGCGAUCCACCUCGCCACUGUGGCGACCGCCCUUGCUUCAUCGAUGCCUGAUCGCAGCACAACACAUGUCGUGCAACCCCCUUCGCCACCCCGUUCCCCCGGCAAACCUGACCCGUCACCAUCGCUCCCAAGGUCCCACCUUGUUGGUGUGUCGUGCUGGCCCGGCAAAGAAGUCGUGUGCGUAUCCCAGGCUCUGCUCUGCUGGUAUGUACUCACUCAGUGUAGGGUUUGAUUCAUCUUGAUUCCUCACUUCUCUAGAUGCAAUGCUUGCUUCGUUUAAUACUUUUUAGUGUAUCUAUAUUAUACCCGAUCGCUGAUGGAUCAGUAUAUCAUCUACGAUUUUUUUAUUAUUUCUUAUGUAGAUCAUGAUAAUCUGAUUCCCAAUAUUGGCAGUAAUAUUAGUUAUCGACAUGAUUUCAACUUUCUGUUCUUCCAUCAAAGUACAGAUCUCAUUUCCAAAGGAAUAUGGAUGUGCUUCUUAGUUAUGACAGUAACAUCAUAAUCCUAUGUAGAUGCUUCUAAACGUUUUUUUUUGCUUCCAGAUGACAAAAAUAAUAAUAGAAAUCAAUUUAUAUGUUGGUGAUAAAAAUAUCCAUCCCUUGAUGGCCAAACAUUUUUAGUUUUGUUUCGUUCUAUGCUUCAAUUUGAACCCCCUGUGUAUAGCGUAUCUUGUAUAUAGCACAUUUGCAUACACCAUAACUGGAACUUUAAAAAAGCUCCAACCAUUUUUGUUUGCUUUAGUUCUAUACUUCAAUUCAAACCGUUGUGUACAUCAUAUAUUAUAUGUAUAUUGUAUAUAGCACAUUUUCACCCAACCACAACUGGAACUUAAAACAAAAUAGUGAAACUUGAACUUCAAAUUUGACACUGCAUUUGCUUCUAAUGUUUCUACAUAAAAAUAUCAUUGCUUGUUAAUACAAACACGAUUCGCCACCACACCGGGAGUUCUAUAUGAUUGUUCGAAGCAUUGUAAUUGUAGAGUUCUUCUCCGUCUCUCUUGGAUUUGUUCAUUCGGUUUUGCUAACUCCGUCUCAUAGUUAUGUACUUAUUUGUGGAAGCACAUAGAAGUUAGUAAAAAGCAGCACCACACUUCAGGGUAAUAUGUUAGUGUGUCAAUCACCCCUUCAGGAGAUAUUUUUAUUCUUCGAAGCAUUGUAGUUGUAGAGUUCUUCUCCUUAUCUAUUGGAUUUAUUCAUCAGAUUUGCUAACUUUGUCGCAUGAUUGUGUACGCCGAUCACAGGAAGGACAUAAGAAGUUAGCCUGGGUGAUCGUGCAAGGGACAGGGUCCUCCCAUUUUUUGCUUGCAAUUUGUGUUACCGUGGUAGAUGGUGUGGCGCUUCCUGACCACCACAGAAAAAAAAUUCUAGAUUUCACGAAGACACGUGUUCAUCACUGUGGAAACAUUCCCAAUUUUAUUUGAAAUAAAUAUUUCUUUUCAUGGAAAAAAAUCUAUAUUUGUAUGGAAGCAUUUCUCUAGUCUAUGAAAAUAAUAUCAUGCAUAUUGGUUUGGAAGCAAAAUAUAUCUCUCGAAGCAAGGCAUCAUUUUUAUUGCACUAAAGCAAAUUCUAAUUUCUUUGGAUGCAGAUUCCAAAUUCUAUAGAAGCAAAUGCUCAUUUCGUUCGAUGCCAGUUCCAACUUGUUUUGAAGCAAAUCUCUAUUUAUUGGAUGCAGAUACGAGAUUAUUGAAAAGACAAGUUCAAUUUUAAUUUGUUUGAAAUAGUCCAUUACAUUUGGUUAAAAAUCUUUGCUCGAAGCAUGAAAUAGUAAUGUGAGAAGCAAGGCGUCUGCAUUGUACUUACAAAAUACAAAUAAAUUGUCAUACUGGAUAAAAAUCUCUUCAUAUCCUUGAAACAUAUGUAAUCAUAAGGAAAAGUAACAUUAUAAUUUCUGCCGGAAGCAAUUUUAUGGGCUAUUGGAUUCUAGUAGACGUG
RNAcentral lists this long non-coding RNA (2114 nucleotides) under Hordeum vulgare. RNAcentral's name for it is "long non-coding RNA (HVUL_LNC006298)". Lineage: Eukaryota; Viridiplantae; Streptophyta; Magnoliopsida; Poales; Poaceae. The record is from RNAcentral.